CACCGUAUCAAGUUUCGAUCUACCGUGGGCUGAUAUGAUAUCAGGCACCUCAUGAAUGCCGGGCGAUCCGCUGGCGUCAGACGUCCUUUACCAAAUCUCCCGUCGGUGUCAGACGUCCUGUCGAUGUCAGACAUCCUGUCGGUGUCAGAGGUCUCGUCCCAUCGACACCAGACGUCUCGUCCCAUCGGAAAGAAAAACCGUCAUUCCCGUCACCCCUUCGGGGAUG
This 226-nucleotide long non-coding RNA is filed under the name Elaeis guineensis (African oil palm). RNAcentral's name for it is "long non-coding RNA (EGUI_LNC082861)". The record is from RNAcentral. Lineage: Eukaryota; Viridiplantae; Streptophyta; Magnoliopsida; Arecales; Arecaceae.